Molecule: ribosomal RNA, 478 nt
Filed under: uncultured bacterium
Lineage: Bacteria
Description: partial 16S ribosomal RNA
Rfam family: Bacterial small subunit ribosomal RNA
Source: RNAcentral
GAUGAACGCUGGCGGCGUGCUUAACACAUGCCAGUCGAACGGGAAAUAUUUCAUUGAGACUUCGGUGGAUUUGAUUUAUUUCAAGUGGCGGACGGGUGAGUAACGCGUGGGUAACCUGCCUUAUACAGGGGGAUAACAGUCAGAAAUGGCUGCUAAUACCGCAUAAGCGCACAGAGCUGCAUGGCUCAGUGUGAAAAACUCCGGUGGUAUAAGAUGGACCCGCGUUGGAUUAGCUAGUUGGUGGGGUAACGGCCCACCAAGGCGACGAUCCAUAGCCGGCCUGAGAGGGUGAGCGGCCACAUUGGGGCUAGGACACGGCCCAGACUCCUACGGGAGGCAGCAGUGGGUAAUAUUGCACAAUGGGGGAAACCCUGAUGCAGCUACGCCGCGUGAAGGAAGAAGUAGCUCGAGAUGUAAACUUCUAUCAGCAGGGAAGAUAGUGACGGUACCUAACGAAGAAGCCCCGGCUAACUACGUG